This 767-nucleotide ribosomal RNA is filed under the name Anaerosalibacter bizertensis. RNAcentral's name for it is "partial 23S ribosomal RNA". It matches the Rfam family "Bacterial large subunit ribosomal RNA", at positions 454 to 1216 of the family's 2925-position model. The record is from RNAcentral. Lineage: Bacteria; Bacillati; Bacillota; Tissierellia; Tissierellales; Sporanaerobacteraceae.
CAACCUGUACGGCUAAAUAUUCUCGUGAGACCGAUAGCGAACCAGUACCGUGAGGGAAAGGUGAAAAGAACCCCGAGCAGGGGAGUGAAAGAGAUCCUGAACCCUUGCGCCUACAAGCGGUCGGAGCUGCCUAUGGCAGUGACGGCGUGCCUUUUGCAUAAUGAACCUACGAGUUACCAUCACAGGCAAGGUUAAGUCUCACGAGAGACGCAACCGCAGUGAAAGCGAGGCUGAAGAGGCCGUCGAGUCUGUGGGGGUAGACGCGAAACCAAGUGAUCUACACUUGGCCAGGAUGAAGUCCCGGUAACACGGGAUGGAGGUCCGCACCAAUAAGCGUUGAAAAGCUUCUGGAUGAGCAUAGUGUAGGAGUGUAAGGCCAAUCAAACUUGGAGAUAGCUCGUACUCCCCGAAAGGCAUUUAGGUGCCGCGUCGGAUGGUCACCGUGAGAGGUAGAGCGACCGAUAGGACAAGAGGGCUUCACCGCCUAUCGAGUCCUGACGAACUCCGAAUGCUCACGGUCUGCAGUCCGGCAGUAAGGGGGCGGGUGCUAAGGUCCGUCCCCGAGAGGAGAAGAAUCCAGACCGCCGUCUAAGGUCCCGGAGUUCUGCCUGAGUUAGUCUAACGAAGUCUGGUCCCUAUGACAGCUAGGAUGUUGGCUUGGAAGCAGCCAUUCAUUCAAAGAGUGCGUAACAGCUCACUAGUCGAGGGUCCGGGCAUGGAUAAUAAUCGGGUAUAAGGCAGACACCGAAGGCGCGGGAUAGCAAUUA